Molecule: microRNA precursor, 110 nt
Filed under: Nelumbo nucifera (sacred lotus)
Lineage: Eukaryota; Viridiplantae; Streptophyta; Magnoliopsida; Proteales; Nelumbonaceae
Source: RNAcentral
AGAGUGGAAAGCAGCCAAGAAUGACUUGCCGACAUGGAGCAACUGAUGGGUCUAUCUGAACUGAAUUGCCUGUCGUUGGCAAGUUUGUUUUUGGCUACAUUUCACUUUCU